UGGGGUUGUGGCUCAGUGGUAAAGCGCCUUCCUGGCAUGUGUGAGGCCCUGGGUUCAAUCCUCAGCACCACAA
This 73-nucleotide transfer RNA is filed under the name Marmota monax (woodchuck). Its description in RNAcentral is "tRNA.Ala". The record is from RNAcentral. Lineage: Eukaryota; Metazoa; Chordata; Mammalia; Rodentia; Sciuridae.